GCACGGGUGAGUAACACGUAGGUAACGUACCCUAGAGUCUGGGAUAACCAGUCGAAAGACUGGCUAAUACCAGAUACGACUAUCGAGGCCCCGGCCUCUGUAGUGAAAGAUGGCCUCUGUUUACAUGCUAUCACUCCUGGAUCGGCCUGCGGACCAUUAGCUAGUUGGUGAGGUAAUGGCUCACCAAGGCUGAGAUGGUUAGCUGGUCUGAGAGGAUGGCCAGCCACACUGGGACUGAGACACGGCCCAGACUCCUACGGGAGGCAGCAGUGGGGAAUAUUGCGCAAUGGGCGAAAGCCUGACGCAGCGACGCCGCGUGGGUGAUGAAGGCCUUCGGGUCGUAAAGCCCUGUCGGGAGGGAAGAAACAGCCCAGACUUAACACGCUUGGGUUUUGACGGUACCUCCUAAGGAAGCACCGGCUAACUCCGUGCCAGCAGCCGCGGUAA
This 447-nucleotide ribosomal RNA is filed under the name uncultured delta proteobacterium. RNAcentral's name for it is "bacterial SSU rRNA". It matches the Rfam family "Bacterial small subunit ribosomal RNA", at positions 100 to 523 of the family's 1533-position model. The record is from RNAcentral. Lineage: Bacteria; Deltaproteobacteria.